Molecule: ribosomal RNA, 508 nt
Filed under: Bacillus cereus
Lineage: Bacteria; Bacillati; Bacillota; Bacilli; Caryophanales; Bacillaceae
Description: bacterial LSU rRNA
Rfam family: Bacterial large subunit ribosomal RNA
Source: RNAcentral
GGUGGUUCCGCAKGGAAGGGCCAUCGCUCAACGGAUAAAAGCUACCCCGGGGAUAACAGGCUUAUCUCCCCCAAGAGUCCACAUCGACGGGGAGGUUUGGCACCUCGAUGUCGGCUCAUCGCAUCCUGGGGCUGUAGUCGGUCCCAAGGGUUGGGCUGUUCGCCCAUUAAAGCGGUACGCGAGCUGGGUUCAGAACGUCGUGAGACAGUUCGGUCCCUAUCCGUCGUGGGCGUAGGAAAUUUGAGAGGAGCUGUCCUUAGUACGAGAGGACCGGGAUGGACGCACCGCUGGUGUACCAGUUGUUCUGCCAAGGGCAUAGCUGGGUAGCUAUGUGCGGAAGGGAUAAGUGCUGAAAGCAUCUAAGCAUGAAGCCCCCCUCAAGAUGAGAUUUCCCAUAGCGUAAGCUAGUAAGAUCCCUGAAAGAUGAUCAGGUUGAUAGGUUCGAGGUGGAAGCAUGGUGACAUGUGGAGCUGACGAAUACUAAUAGAUCGAGGACUUAACCAUAUAA